GAUGAACGCUAGCGGCAGGCUUAAUACAUGCAAGUCGAGGGGCAGCAGUUUUGUAGCGAUACAGAAGCUGGCGACCGGCAAACGGGUGCGGAACACGUACGCAACCUUCCUUUAACUGGAAGAUAGCCCACCGAAAGGUGGAUUAAUACUCCAUAAUAUAUUGAAGAGGCAUCUUUUUGAUAUUAAAGCUCCGGCGGUUAAAGAUGGGCGUGCGUCUGAUUAGGUAGUUGGCGGGGUAACGGCCCACCAAGCCUUCGAUCAGUAGCUGAUGUGAGAGCAUGAUCAGCCACACGGGCACUGGGACACGGGCCCGACUCCUACGGGAGGCAGCAGUAAGGAAUAUUGGUCAAUGGACGCAAGUCUGAACCAGCCAUGCCGCGUGGAGGAUGAAGGCCCUCUGGGUUGUAAACUUCUUUUCUUUGGGACGAAACCCCUGUUUCUACGGGGACUGACGGUACCAGAGGAAUAAGCACCGGCUAACUCCGUGCCAGCCGCCGCCGUAA
This 503-nucleotide ribosomal RNA is filed under the name uncultured bacterium. RNAcentral's name for it is "partial 16S ribosomal RNA". It matches the Rfam family "Bacterial small subunit ribosomal RNA", at positions 28 to 523 of the family's 1533-position model. The record is from RNAcentral.